RNAcentral lists this ribosomal RNA (117 nucleotides) under bacterium. The record is from RNAcentral.
GCCGGUGAUUUGAGCGACUUGGAACCACCCUUUCCCAUUCCGAACAAGGAAGUGAAACGAGUCAGCGCUGACGAUAGUAUGGGGGCAACCCUGUGCGAAAAUAGGUCAUUGCCGGCC